Molecule: ribosomal RNA, 322 nt
Filed under: uncultured eukaryote
Lineage: Eukaryota
Description: partial 18S ribosomal RNA
Rfam family: Eukaryotic small subunit ribosomal RNA
Source: RNAcentral
CCCUUAGAUGUUCUGGGCCGCACGCGUGCUACACUGAGUGGAUCAGCGGGUCAGGUUGCGCGAAAGUGUUUCCUAAUCUUGAAAUCCGCUCGUGAUGGGGAUUGACGGUUGCAAUUUUCCGUCAUGAACGAGGCAUACCUUGUAAGCGCGGGUCAUCAUCCCGCGCUGAAUACGUCCCUGCCCUUUGUACACACCGCCCGUCGCUCCUACCGAUUGAGUGGUCCGGUGAGGCUUUGGGAUCUGAGCGGAAAGAGCGUUUCGCUGUUUCUGCUCGGAAAACUCAGUCGAACCUUAUCAUUUAGAGGAAGGAGAAGUCGUAACA